CAGCAGCCACGGGAAUACAGAGGAUUUAAGCGUUAUCCGGAAUGAUUGGGCGUAAAGGGCUCGCAGGCGGUUUCUUAGGUCUGAUGUGAAAGCCCCCGGCUCAACCGGGGAGGGUCAUUGGAAACUGGGAAACUUGAGUGCAGAGGAGGAGAGUGGAAUUCCACGUGUAGCGGUGAAAUGCGUAGAGAUGUGGAGGAAUACCAGUGGCGAAGGCGACUCUCUGGUCUGUAACUGACGCUGAGGAGCGAAAGCGUGGGGAGCAAACAGGAUUAGAUACCCCCGUAGUCCCUGUCUCUUAUAA
RNAcentral lists this ribosomal RNA (301 nucleotides) under uncultured bacterium. RNAcentral's name for it is "partial 16S ribosomal RNA". It matches the Rfam family "Bacterial small subunit ribosomal RNA", at positions 509 to 809 of the family's 1533-position model. The record is from RNAcentral.